UACGUAGGGAGCAAGCGUUGUCCGGAAUCAUUGGGCGUAAAGCGCGCGUAGGUGGCCCAGUAAGUCCGUUCUGAAAGUCACAGGCUCAACCUGUGAACGCGGAUGGAUACUGCUGGGCUAGAGUCCGGAAGAGGCGAGUGGAAUUCCUGGUGUAGCGGUGGAAUGCGCAGAUAUCAGGAGGAACACCAACGGCGAAGGCAGCUCGCUGGGACGGUACUGACACUGAGGCGCGAAAGCGUGGGGAGCGAACAGG
RNAcentral lists this ribosomal RNA (253 nucleotides) under uncultured bacterium. Its description in RNAcentral is "partial 16S ribosomal RNA". It matches the Rfam family "Bacterial small subunit ribosomal RNA", at positions 524 to 776 of the family's 1533-position model. The record is from RNAcentral.